GCCUUGGAGUGGGGAAUAACAGGUGGAAACAUCUGCUAAUACCGCAUGAUGCAGUUGGGCCGCAUGGCUCUGACUGCCAAAGAUUUAUCGCUCUGAGAUGGACUCGCGUCUGAUUAGCUGGUUGGCGGGGUAACGGCCCACCAAGGCGACGAUCAGUAGCCGGACUGAGAGGUUGGCCGGCCACAUUGGGACUGAGACACGGCCCAGACUCCUACGGGAGGCAGCAGUGGGGAAUAUUGGGCAAUGGGCGCAAGCCUGACCCAGCAACGCCGCGUGAAGGAAGAAGGCUUUCGGGUUGUAAACUUCUUUUCUCAGGGACGAAGCAAGUGACGGUACCUGAGGAAUAAGCCACGGCUAACUACGUGCCAGCAGCCGCGGUAAUACGUAGGUGGCGAGCGUUAUCCGGAUUUACUGGGUGUAAAGGGCGUGUAGGCGGGACUGCAAGUCAGAUGUGAAAACCAUGGGCUCAACCUGUGGCCUGCAUUUGAAACUGUAGUUCUUGAGUACUGGAGAGGCAGACGGAAUUCCUAGUGUAGCGGUGAAAUGCGUAGAUAUUAGGAGGAACACCAGUGGCGAAGGCGGUCUGCUGGACAGCAACUGACGCUGAGGCGCGAAAGCGUGGGGGAGCAAACAGGAUUAGAUACCCCUGGUAGUCCACGCUGUAAACGAUGGAUACUAGGUG
RNAcentral lists this ribosomal RNA (682 nucleotides) under uncultured bacterium. Its description in RNAcentral is "bacterial SSU rRNA". It matches the Rfam family "Bacterial small subunit ribosomal RNA", at positions 128 to 822 of the family's 1533-position model. The record is from RNAcentral.